This 1250-nucleotide long non-coding RNA is filed under the name Sorghum bicolor (sorghum). Its description in RNAcentral is "long non-coding RNA (SBIC_LNC017662)". Lineage: Eukaryota; Viridiplantae; Streptophyta; Magnoliopsida; Poales; Poaceae. The record is from RNAcentral.
GAUAGUAGCGAGAUGGAGAGCGAGGGAGGAUUGGAGGUGAGGCCGGCCUGUCAGUUCUUCCUCCGGUUGUACUUCGCCAUGAUCAAGCUCUAAUCAAGUUUGUUAAUGGGAUGGCUCUUGUAAUCUACUUCUAAUUCAUUAUGCAAUUACUAAUCAUGUAUGUUCUGGUUCACAACUCUUUUGAGUACUUCUAAUCUGUAGGACGCUAUAGGUGAGAGUUGUAGUAUAGGUGUAAGCGAGGUGCUUAGACCUAGAUUACUUGUGGAUAUCCCCUGUCUAGCUGGAUCGUGUGGUAGGCCGCGUAGGUGACAGUUAUGUUGGUCCCUUGUAGUCCACCUCCUGUUAGCAGGACGGGUAUGGUUUAUUGGCCUAUGGAUAAGCAUCCUUUGUGGUGUAUUCUUAUCACGUGGUUCGUCCCAGACAUAGAAAUACCCCUUUGAAGUAGAGAAACCAUAGUUAUCCUCUCUAUUCUGCUACCAUCGCCCAUAUACUAGAUUGCUCUACUUUCUAUUCCCAUAUUACCACCUAUUGUUAUCUUACCUUUAAUAUUGUUCUUAUUUAAUUCUAUCAUCUUUCCUAUUUACACCUAUCUAUCUAUCUUGGUUAAGUUAGAGCGUAGUUGGUUCUCCCGUUUCCCUAUGGAUACGAUAAAACCUUUAACCGUGUAAAAGCUUCAACGGUAUGCGUGCGCUUGCGGAUUAUCUGUGUGUGUAUAAAUACCAUAGUACACUCUAGUGCCAUGCUGGGGAUGACAACCUAGUAUUCAGUGGUGUUAGCAAGUGUCAACAAGCAUUUUUGGCGCCGUUGCCGGGGAAACGGUUGCUGAGCUGACUACGAACUAGCUUAAUCUUUUUUAAAAAAAUAAAAAAAAAAUAUUUUUCCUUUUAUCCUUUGCCUUAUCUCUGCUAAUCUUUCUUCUUAUCUAAUCCUUGAUCUCUUGUCUAUCAUGAAUUCAAACAUGUCUAUCUAUGAAUUUCAUAGACCUACGAGCACACAUCUCGAACCACCAAAAUCUUCAAAGCCUAUCAUAGCAUCUAGUUUGAGAUAGACCCCGAAUACAUAGAAUUUGUUCAAAAACAACCUUUCUCAGGAGAAGGUGAAGAAAACCCAUACACACACCUAAGAGAGUUUUAUCGAGUCUGUGACCUCCUUCGCAUACAAGGCAUGUCUGAUGAGACCCUUAAAUGGAAGCUCUUUCUGUUCUCUUUAACAGGAAAAGCUAGACAUUGGUACAAACUCAAAGUAGGGAG